RNAcentral lists this ribosomal RNA (484 nucleotides) under uncultured bacterium. Its description in RNAcentral is "partial 16S ribosomal RNA". It matches the Rfam family "Bacterial small subunit ribosomal RNA", at positions 899 to 1397 of the family's 1533-position model. The record is from RNAcentral.
ACUCAAAUGAAUUGACGGGGACCCGCACAAGCGGUGGAUGAUGUGGUUUAAUUCGAUGGUACGCGAAGAACCUUACCAAGGCUUGACAUCUCUGGAAUCCUGGCGAAAGUCGGGAGUGCCCUCGGGAACCAGAUGACAGGUGUUGCAUGGCCGUCGUCAGCUCGUGUCGUGAGAUGUUGGGUUAAGUCCCGCAACGAGCGCAACCCUUACUGUCUGUUGCAAUUUCAGGCAAGACUGCCCGGGCCAACCGGGAGGAAGGUGGGGAUGAGGUCAGGUCAGCAUGGCCCUUACGCCUUGGGCUACACACGUCAUACAAUGGCCGGUACAACGCGAAGCCAACCCGCGAGGGGGAGCUAAUCGUAUCAAAACCGGUCCCAGUUCGGAUUGGAGGCUGAAACUCGCCUCCAUGAAGUCGGAAUCGCUAGUAACCGUAGGUCAGCACACUACGGUGAAUACGUUCCCGGGUCUUGUACACACCGCCCGU